AUUGAACGCUGGCGGCAGGCCUAACACAUGCAAGUCGAACGGUAACAGGAAGCAGCUUGCUGCUUUGCUGACGAGUGGCGGACGGGUGAGUAAUGUCUGGGAAACUGCCCGAUGGAGGGGGAUAACUACUGGAAACGGUAGCUAAUACCGCAUAACGUGGCAAGACCAAAGAGGUGGACCUUAGGGCCUCUUGCCUGCGGAUGUGCCCAGGUGGGAUUUGCUAGUAGGUGGGGUAACGGCUCACCUAGGCGACGAUCCCUAGCUGGUCUGAGAGGAUGACCAGCCACACUGGAACUGAGACACGGUCCAGACUCCUACGGGAGGCAGCAGUGGGGAAUAUUGCACAAUGGGCGCAAGCCUGAUGCAGCCAUGCCGCGUGUAUGAAGAAGGCCUUCGGGUUGUAAAGUACUUUCAGCGGGGAGGAAGGGAGUAAAGUUAAUACCUUUGCUCAUUGACGUUACCCGCAGAAGAAGCACCGGCUAACUCCGUG
RNAcentral lists this ribosomal RNA (490 nucleotides) under uncultured bacterium. RNAcentral's name for it is "partial 16S ribosomal RNA". It matches the Rfam family "Bacterial small subunit ribosomal RNA", at positions 30 to 507 of the family's 1533-position model. The record is from RNAcentral.